GAGGCAGCAGUGAGGAAUAUUGGUCAAUGGACGAGAGUCUGAACCAGCCAAGUAGCGUGAAGGAUGACUGCCUAUGGGUUGUAAACUUCUUUUAUACGGGGAUAAGUGAGGCACGUGUGCCUUUUUGUAUGUACCGUAUGAAUAAGGAUCGGCUAACUCCGUGCCAGCAGCCGCGGUAAUACGGAGGAUCCGAGCGUUAUCCGGAUUUAUUGGGUUUAAAGGGAGCGUAGGCGGACGCUUAAGUCAGUUGUGAAAGUUUGCGGCUCAACCGUAAAAUUGCAGUUGAUACUGGGUGUCUUGAGUACAGUAGAGGCAGGCGGAAUUCGUGGUGUGGCGGUGAAAUGC
This 345-nucleotide ribosomal RNA is filed under the name uncultured bacterium. RNAcentral's name for it is "bacterial SSU rRNA". It matches the Rfam family "Bacterial small subunit ribosomal RNA", at positions 345 to 689 of the family's 1533-position model. The record is from RNAcentral.